CUGUUUAACUGUCAUUAGAGGGUAUCUGUGGAAUGCGACUUGACCGGCUAAAUGGCAUACUUGUUAAGACCUUUUGAAUAACCUUUGGUAUAUGUAGUCAACACUAUAACCCAGCCUGUUAACUACAGUAGAAGGUAUAUGUAGUCAACACUAUAACCCAGCCUGUUAACUACAGUAGAAGGUAUAUGUAGUUAACACUAUAACCCAGCCUGUUAACUACAGUAGAAGGUAUAUGUAGUCAACACUAUAACCCAGCCUGUUAACUACAGUAGAAGGUAUAUGUAGUCAACACUAUAACCCAGCCUGUUAACUACAGUAGAAGGUAUAUGUAGUCAACACUAUAACCCAGCCUGUUAACUACAGUAGAAGGUAUAUGUAGUCAACACUAUAACCCAGCCUGUUAACUACAGUAGAAGGUAUAUGUAGUCAACACUAUAACCCAGCCUGUUAACUACAGUAGAAGGUAUAUGUAGUCAACACUAUAACCCAGCCUGUUAACUACAGUAGAAGGUAUAUGUAGUCAACACUAUAACCCAGCCUGUUAACUACAGUAGAAGGUAUAUGUAGUCAACACUAUAACCCAGCCUGUUAACUACAGUAGAAGGUAUAUGUAGUCAACACUAUAACCCAGCCUGUUAACUACAGUAGAAGGUAUAUGUAGUCAACACUAUAACCCAGCCUGUUAACUACAGUAGAAGGUAUAUGUAGUCAACACUAUAACCCAGCCUGUUAACUACAGUAGAAGGUAUAUGUAGUCAACACUAUAACCCAGCCUGUUAACUACAGUAGAAGGUAUAUGUAGUCAACACUAUAACCCAGCCUGUUAACUACAGUAGAAGGUACAUGUAGUCAACACUAUAACCCAGCCUGUUAACUACAGUAGAAGGUAUAUGUAGUCAACACUAUAACCCAGCCUGUUAACUACAGUAGAAGGUAUAUGUAGUCAACACUAUAACCCAGCCUGUUAACUACAGUAGAAGGUACAUGUAGUCAACACUAUAACCCAGCCUGUUAACUACAGUAGAAGGUAUAUGUAGUCAACACUAUAACCCAGCCUGUUAACUACAGUAGAAGGUACAUGUAGUCAACACUAUAACCCAGCCUGUUAACUACAGUAGAAGGUACAUGUAGUCAACACUAUAACCCAGCCUGUUAACUACAGUAGAAGGUAUAUGUAGUCAACACUAUAACCCAGCCUGUUAACUACAGUAGAAGGUACAUGUAGUCAACACUAUAACCCAGCCUGUUAACUACAGUAGAAGGUAUAUGUAGUCAACACUAUAACCCAGCCUGUUAACUACAGUAGAAGGUAUAUGUAGUCAACACUAUAACCCAGCCUGUUAACUACAGUAGAAGGUAUAUGUAGUCAACACUAUAACCCAGCCUGUUAACUACAGUAGAAGGUAUAUGUAGUCAACACUAUAACCCAGCCUGUUAACUACAGUAGAAGGUAUAUGUAGUCAACACUAUAACCCAGCCUGUUAACUACAGUAGAAGGUAUAUGUAGUCAACACUAUAACCCAGCCUGUUAACUACAGUAGAAGGUAUAUGUAGUCAACACUAUAACCCAGCCUGUUAACUACAGUAGAAGGUACAUGUAGUUAACACUA
Oncorhynchus keta (chum salmon) is the source of this 1610-nucleotide long non-coding RNA. RefSeq lists it as uncharacterized. The transcript is spliced from 4 exons. NCBI's taxonomy places the organism in Eukaryota, Metazoa, Chordata, Actinopteri, Salmoniformes, Salmonidae. The record is from RefSeq and is a predicted model, not a curated record.